AGGGUGAAGAUGAGGAUUCAAUAGAUUAGAUGAAGGGAUGGAGAUCUUAUCAUAAUGGUGAUAUGGAUCAAGAUAAUUAAGACUCUCGAUAGUGAAUGAAGGGGAAGAGGGCAAAGAAGAGUAUAGUAGGGGAGGUGCUUUUUUACAUCUAGAUGGUGGCCAAGAGUAGAAUCCCCUUUGAUUAGGUUUGGAGUUAGAACA
Molecule: long non-coding RNA, 201 nt
Filed under: Phoenix dactylifera (date palm)
Lineage: Eukaryota; Viridiplantae; Streptophyta; Magnoliopsida; Arecales; Arecaceae
Description: long non-coding RNA (PDAC_LNC008432)
Source: RNAcentral